Molecule: long non-coding RNA, 1000 nt
Filed under: Pogona vitticeps (central bearded dragon)
Lineage: Eukaryota; Metazoa; Chordata; Lepidosauria; Squamata; Agamidae
Description: lncRNA (ENSPVIG00000017307.1)
Source: RNAcentral
GGUAAAACUGCAGGCAGGCGCCCUAGACCAGGAAAGAAGGACGUCAGCGACCCUAAUGGAGAUUCUCCUUAUGAGUAUGAACGCCCUGAAAAAGUUCCCAUGUCAGAUCAAAAUCAACCGAGAGAUCCAUCUUUUCCAGCUGGAACCUAUCCUCAUGAUUUGUUUUGGCCAGAGCAUUGUGCAAAUCUUGGUAACAUUGAUCCCAGUCGCCUAGGAGAUCUCUCAUAUUUGCAGCAAAUGUUUCCACAUUAUUUCCGAAGACCAAAGGUUCGCCCUAAUGCAGCUGAAGAUUUCCCCAAUCACCCAGUUGACAUUCUCUCUCCAAAGGGUGAUGAUGCGGAUGAUUUUGGAAGCCCAGAUUUAGUUCCUGGUUUAAAUACCAAUGUUUUGAAUCAUCGAAGAGAUCCUGCUUCGUCAAAGGGAUCCUCUUCUGGAAGAGACAUCAUAACAGAGAUGCGCCCUAGUCUCACUUUAUCUGGAAAUUCUCCUAAUGAUUUUGAAGGUUCUCCUGGAACUCUUGUUUUAGACACCAAUGAAUCAGAUAAUAUUGAUCCAAAUCACUCUGGACGUCUCGGUAUCUUGCCGGGAAGUCUACAGGGCAAUUCUCUCCCCUCUGGGGCCCGCCCAGAUUCAGAGGCCAAUGAUCCAAAUCGUUUAGGUUUCCGUGUCGUGACAGGGACUCAACAGGGUAAUUCUCUUCCCUCCGGGGCCCGCCCAGAUUCAGAGGCCAAUGAUCCAAAUCGUUUAGGUUUCCGUGUCGUGACGGGAAAUCAACAGGGUAAUUCGCUCCCCUCCGGGGCUCGCCCAGAUUCAGAGGCCAAUGAUCCAAAUCGUUUAGGUUUCCGUUUCGUGACGGGAUCUCAACAGGAUAAUUCUCUCCCCUCUGGGGCCCGCCCAGAUUCAGAGGCCAAUGAUCCAAAUCGUUUAGGUUUCCGUGUCGUGACGGGGACUCAACAGGGUAAUUCUCUCCCCUCCGGGGCCCGCCCAGAUUCAGAGGCCA